UGCACAAUUACUGCUAUUAUGAAGGAAAUAAAGGAGCAUUUUGCGAGAACCCUCACCCACCUGCUGUUGCUAGGCAGCAAGCUGCUUAUCUCUUGGUUUCCACAGCUACUCAACUGACACAACAUGGAGGACAGCAUUUGCAGAAGGGAACUGCAUAGUAAUUGGGUACAAAGAGAUUGUUUUCAACUGUCAGACGGCCUAAAGAGAGGCCCUGAUUUGCUUUUGAUGUUAAUCAGCAGCUGGGUCUGAGUGUUCAAACAGCGGCAACCAGAUGUCCUGCUGUUUUCUCAGAGAAGGACAGUGCCAAUGCUCUUUACAUGGUUCAUUGGGAAUCUCUGCUCUCAAUUUAUGGCUGCUUCCGUUUAUACAUCCUGUUUCCCUCGCUUGCAACUCCAGGACUGAAAGGGACAGUCCAAGUGUGAAACAUCAAGGGGUUUGCAGUGGGAAGACCGGGGACAGAUUGGGGAGAAUUGAGCCCUGAUUGACAACAAGCCGGCAUGUAAAGAAUUAUGGAGACCAAGCGGCUGCAACACUGAAACAUCAGCUAUUUGAGGUUUCAUGCCAGCUGCCCGUUAGUGAAUUGGAUUUCCAUGGAGUUAACCACUGCCUAUUUUUGCCAUGCCUCAAGUUCCAUCGGUGCAGUUCAUGGUAACCUGCUCCAGCUAGAGAAGUAAAGCCAAGACCCUGAUCCAUCUGACUGGCAUCACCUCGGAAAAAAAAUCACAUCCACUUCACAAUGGUCUCGAAUGAAAUCUGGAGCUGAGCGGUCCUGGAGGAACCCAAAUGGAAUGUCAGUGAAGGGGUUGCUGCUGAACAAAUGGCAUACAAUCGAUGACCCUUUGGUCACUCCUCUGAUGGUCAACAGCAGAUCAAUGGGGCAGAGACCGGUGGAUUUGUAUAUUCCUGUGUUUUGUAUAUUCCUCAGCAAUGUUCACAUUUCGAGUAGUUCAUCAUAUUGUAUCUAAAUGGGAACAGCUUGGUUAUUGGUGCUGCUGAUUCUGGAGCAUGGGUUUUCAGGGUUUUCAUAAUAUUGUCAGAAUCUGUACUCUUUGCUGCAUCUAAUGCCUUCGGCCUUUUCCUGACAUCACAUAGAAUGAAUCAAAAUAGCUGAAGACUGGCACCUUUAAUGUUAGAGGAGGCUGAGUUGGACUAUCCACUCACUACUUCCUUUUUAAAGGUGGUUGCAAAUAUGUCAUGUUGUUUGCACUGUGGGGUUGGGGGGCCCCCAUUGUUGAUGACAGGGAUUCUUCAGAGCCUCCUCCUCCCAGUAGUUAUUUUACUUAUUAUUCACCACCAUUUAUCCCUGGAUGGGGUAGGACUCCAGACCCAGGAGAAAAAUCACAGGUCCCUUAUGUAUGCCCCCACCCCACCCCUACAUUUAACUCACGACAGUUUCUAUCGAAUACCUCCUUAAUGUGAUUUAGGUCCUAUAGAAUAGUAUAGUGCAGCACUCAUUCAUCAGGAGAUUCAGUCUUGCAUCAAUAACCUUGUGUAUUCCAGUUGAUCAGUUGUGUAUUUUGACUCACACCAAAAUGGAAUUAGAAGAAUUCAUCAAUAUCCUCAAUGAACAACCUUCAUCAAUAUCCCCAAUGAACAAUCUUCUAUUAAACUGGAAGCUACAACUCACGGGAAAAGCAUUAACUUACUGUGUUUAAAUUAGCACCAGACAGCAGGCGUAAGUUAGUAAAAUUUUUUUCUUCCCAAGAUAACUGAUAGACAAUUCUAUACAAAAGAAAACAUCACAGUAAAAACACCUUCUGCAAAUGUCACAGCAAAUACUUCCCAUUAUAUCUGCACAAAGCUGAAACAUUUUCACCAGACACUUACUACUCAAUUCACUGCAGGGCAGAUCUUAAUCCCUGAUUAAAUUUAACGAGUGACACAGUGUUGAUCACAGCAGAUUCCAUUACAUUUUUCAUCAUAUUGUAGCUGUGCAGCCAAAAGCCAUUUUCAGUUUCAAGGAAUUAGUUAUUUCUGAUUUCAAGUUCCUCAAGCUUCCAGUUAGUUGAGUACUUCCAUAGACUGGUGGGUUUGAAGUUCUCCUCACUCCUUUGAAGGCUCAGUCUCUCCGCCGUGCAGCCUUAUACUUUGCCCCCCACAAAAACCCGCUUCUAGCUCUCUAAUCCAGCUUGCAUUCUCUUCUUGCCCCCAGCUCCUUUCGUAGAGCCUCCUUUCUUUCUUGCCCGUGCACCCCCCAUCAUUUGCCAUCCCAUCUCCCAACAGCAACCCUGGCUCCGUACGCCCACUCACACACCUGCACUCAGUUGGAUGAACCGCUCCAGCCCACCCCAGACCAUGGCAUGGCUGAAGGAACUCAACAUUUCUCCACCCCUGCUGUCUGGGCUUGGAUACAUGCACCUCCCCCAGUCUGGAUUUGAAUGAAUGAGACCCAAGAAUAUUCGUCUCCCAGCUUUGGCUUCUGCACCAAUAGUGGAAUUUGAUGCUCUCUGGCUGGGUUUGGUGGUGAGGCACACUUAAUUGGGUGGAAUGUUGGUGGCUGGCACCCCGCACUUACCCGCCUAUACCUUGACUAAGUACAAGCCAGGAAAGAUCAUUCACGGUGCUCCCACCCUAACACUGCUGGUAGUGACACAACGGUAGUGAGGUAGUCUUGGGAAUCCUGACAAAUAGAUUGCCUUGAGAUUGCAGGCUUCCUCAUUCUGAAGAGCCAGGCAUCGGGAAUAAGGAAACCCCUCCCUGCUGGCCUCCUUCCUCGCUGUGACCCCACCUCAUCCUGCGACCCCCAUAGUACCUUUACUAACUCAUGGCCUGCAUCCUCCAGCUUUUGCAGGUCUUGGCUUGCAUGCAUUUCUGACAACAACCACUGUUCCUGCUGCCGCUGCUGAGCAGUACACAUUUUUUGGCCUCUGAUUAUUGUGGAUCAAGGAUCCCAGGAAGGUCCCAAAGCUGCCCAGCUAAGAGUUCAAAUGGCACUUGAAUAGUGGCCUUCCUGAAAAGAGGCAAUGUAGAUCUCUCACUAGCUCAACAGGCAGGGGGUAAAGCCAUUUCCGCCACCAUUAAAUACCUCCACAACAGGUCUCAAUUGGAACUGGUAUCAGCAAGUUAUGAUCUUUUUCUAUUUCAAUUUCAAUUUAUCUACCUUGUCAGAAACACUGGGCUUAAUUUAAUUCUCUCCUGUCAAUAAUUGGAAGACAGAGGGAAAUUCAACAGAUGUUCACUCUAGUGUCUUCCUGCCUGUACCUGCCCCCACUGCAGAUACUGUAGUGGCAUGUAUGGUGUUGAAUGACCUGCCUGCCAGCGAGUCUAAUCAAGAUCCUUAAGUAGGUAAUUAAUUUGGGGCGGCAUGGUGGCUCAGUGGUUAGCACUGCAGCCUCACAGCACCAGGGACCCAGGUUCAAUUCUAGCCUCAGGCAACUGUCUGUGCGGAGUUUGCACAUUCUCCCGGUCUCUGUGUGGGUUUCCUCUGGGUGCUCCGGUCUCCUUCCACAGUCCAAAGAUGUGCAGGCUAGGUGGAUUGGCCAUGCUAAAUUGCCCGUACUGUUCAGGGGUGU
Long non-coding RNA from Stegostoma tigrinum, 3512 nucleotides. RefSeq lists it as uncharacterized. Lineage: Eukaryota; Metazoa; Chordata; Chondrichthyes; Orectolobiformes; Stegostomatidae. The transcript is spliced from 3 exons. The record is from RefSeq and is a predicted model, not a curated record.